CGGAAGUUCUACCAGAAGCUCAACGAAUCCCGUAACGGCUGUGCAGGGAUAAGGACGGAGACCUUGUCACCUUCCACUAGAAAGGUCGCAUGAGACGGAGACAAAUUAGGUAAUAAAGGAAGCUGGUGGUACUGGUCCCCUUACCCACGUACCAGCAUCAGCCUAAAGAGAGGUUCGAACUAGUGGAACCAUUGACGAAUUAUUAAUCGGGUGAAUCCAUAUCAAAAUAAAAGCAUAAAUUUCACAUGAUAAUAGAAAUGGUGUAUUUUAGUACUUACGAUUUAUUGAUGCUCAACCUACGUUGUAACCUAUUGUUAGAAUGUGGAUGGGUGUCAGAGUUUUGCAGUGUAUCCCGCGACGAUCCCGGUCGACAUGCAUGUCCGGACAGAAGUGACACCACUGAGCUGAUGCCAGACACUCCAGCUCUAGCACCUCGGGCCAUGAUCACGCCAGGACACUGGCAGUCUUCUCACCCAGAAGCAGGCUUGACAGAAACUCCCUCGCGAGAAAAUGAGUAAGCGAUUUCGGCGAUUUUCUGAGGAGGUAAAAUAAAACUCAGAAAUCACAACGCAAAUCCUCAACAGCAUCGAGCGUGAGCUUGCCGCGCAGCGAGGAGUUCGUCCAACACUCAUAAUUGUUUGUUGUGUUUCUCACGUCCACUCACACUCAAAAAGCUCUCGCGAGUUCCACUCCCAUACAAAGAAAGACUCUCGAGGCGAAAAUCGCACUCAAAAACCCGAAAAUUUCAUCAGCUCUUUUUUCGUUCCCCUCUUCCUCGCUCAGUUUUUUUUGCCUCUCUGUUUGGGGUUCGUUCGCUCCCUCGCGACGAGGCAAAAGCAAAACACCGCUCUAGAGCAUGUUGCAAAACUCUUUUGAUUUCGAGGAGGAUUAUCAAGCCUGCCCAGAAGUUGGAUAUGAAGAAAAGGCCUAAUAGAAAGACACCAAGUAUGACUUAAUACCAUCUCACAGGAACACAUCACACUUUGGGAGUUGUUUUAGGCAUUUGAGAAACACUCUUACCGAUCUCAUUAUAAUUUCCACUCUACUCCAUAUUUGCUCGUCCGAGCCCUAUGCAAAAGAUGGUGAACAUCUGUGACUUGCGUUAAGUUAGAUGAAUUUCACCACAUAAGCACUUGCCAAUAUUCAAAGUUCUACACCGGCCAGGCAAGAGAAUCUGUAACCGUUGGUUCCAAUGUUACUUGCUGGCUCCACCAUCAAUCCCAUUUUCCUCCCGAAAACAAUAGACCCUUUCCAUAACUUUAACUAGGAACUGUCCAAACUCACUGGUUGAUGAGUCACGAGUGAGAAGCGUUCCACUUUCAACUCAUACCAGGUCUCAAAAGCGUAUAUACCGGGGUAGUGUGAACAAGACCUAAAAAGAAACCCUAGGCAAAUUCAAGUACCAAUCCACAGAUGGCGCAUAGGUGAAACAUGGUUGCCAAAACACAACAUAAAACAUAGAUGUCAAAUCCAACCUCAGAGAAAGUGGAUUUCUUAUAAAAGGCUGGAUUUGACCAGAAUUUCCCUCUUUGUCCACAACUGAUUCCCAAAUAGUGUAGUGCGCGUAUUGUGUUAAUUCUAAUGGUCAGAACAAUAGACCACCGCAUGGUGAAACUUAUAUUAACUUUUGGUUUCUUUUCUUAAAUAAAAUAGGGUAAAACUUAAAAUACGGUUGUAAACGUUAAAAAAAAACUGUGUUAGUAAAAUGUGUUAGUGUUAAAACGGUUAGUGCGAACAAAAAAAAAGCAAAUUGUAACCUAAAACUAAUUGUUUAAAACUUAUAGCUAUGAAACAGUUAGACAAAGAACAUCGAAAGAACAGAACACUAAAACAGGUUAAAACGCAAGAAAAAGCGGACGGAUCUUCCGUCGGCACUAACAUCGCCGAUUCCCAGUGCAUAGCGGCGGCGCACAUCGGCGCAGCGACCGCCAUUUUGAAACCCCUGAUGACGUCAGAAGCCCGCCAUUGGUCGAAACACUGCCAAUAAUCAUCCGCUUGGAAGUUGGGAACCCUUCCUCGCUUCCGUUGGCAACCUGCUGGAGUUUCAUCUGGUCCGGCAAACCGCUGGCGAUUUAUUACAAGGCUUCUCAUCUACCAGUGACGCCCCCCCCUUUUUCUACGAUGGGCCACCGUCUGGCCCGAAUCUGCCGUGAAAUCAUCAUGCCAACGAUCACCAUGCCGGCAGAGGUCGGAAAGAUACAUCCGGCGUACCUAACCUCAAAUAUCCCACCGGCAAAGGCUGGUCAGAGACCACAGCGUACCAUCCACCGGCUGCGAAAGAUCCGGAUCGGCCACAAACACCUACAAAAUUCCGCAAGUAUUAUCACCCUAGCUAAUGUGACGUCAUAGAUUAGAAUAAACUAUGUAUGUAUUUGUAAAAUGAAUUAGCCUCAGCGGUAGUCAGCUUAUUUAUGAAAGCAGCCCUGGGUAAUGUAACUUUCACCUUUCUUAUUAGUUUUCGUCCACUUUGUUACUCUCAUUCCUCGCUAUUUAGUAAGAUCAUUUGUGUUCAUUGAUAUUCCCCUCCCCCCUUUGUAUGUUUGUGCAGUUUGGUUGACCACUGUUCCAUUAAAACAGCAUCUUUGGCAAGGUUUUCACCACCAACAGUUCCUACUCAUAUUGAUACGGCUCCACGGCUUGUGUAUGAGGGAAAGUAAGCUUUGAACGACCCUGAAAUCCCACCCUAUGAGUUAGCACGUUACAAUUGGCGCCCAACAAAAAUUACGUCAUAUACCUCAUAUGCCUCCAAACUUCCCGGAAGGGGAGGUGAAAACAGAGCCCUGUCUUGCUUGUCUCUUCGUUCUUCUAACGAAGGUUUUUUCAGAACCACAGAUUUUGUUCACAAAAUACUAGAAUGUCCGCUUAUCUGUGAACGGGAUCGUGAUUCUAAUCGUACUCUUCAAAAUGUAAAUAGUUCAGUUAAUUUAGAAAUUUUUCAAUUAUGCAUGUGAAUGUGUUAGUAAAUAAGGCAUGAAUCGCGCGCGAAAUGUAUAUAGAAUAAUCAAUUUAGGAAAUUACAACACGCUUGCUUUGAAAUAGUUUUGUUCAAUGUGUAUCAUCAUUUAGAAUUUUCGAAUACGCGAGAUUAUUAGGCUUUUUUUUUAAAUUUAUUUCCAAAUUUAUUGAAAAUUUCCGGAUUUUAGACGAAUCCGUGAACUAGAAAAUAAAUCCGAACUGAAUUAUGACCGCGAUGCAAAUAUUAGAUUGGGAACAUCUGUUCCGAAGACGAACCGUAGAAACAAUCACGCGAACUUAGCCACGAUUGACGAACAAUGCGAUGUUUGACGAUCGAACCCGAGAAUCCGAUGUCCAGUAUUCUUGGAACAAGAUUCCAAGAUCAAUUCAAGAUUCUACCGCGAACAGAAUAAGGAAGAACACCGGCAGUUCUUCGAGACUAUCUAUCACCGUAAGGCAGGAAGUCCCCCGGUUGAAUUACGGACGAGGUCUAACACAAUUAGAAUAUCAAAAUAAAAACGAAAAUAAUCGUCGCGAAAACAUCGUUAAAAAGGAGCCAGGCCGAAACUUUGUGCCUGUCUAGUAUCGAAAUGAGGGAGAUACUCACCUCAAUUAUCCGGGUAUACGCGACGACAGUAAUCCCGAUCAAAACGUACAUCCUACUCAGCCUAAAACAGCUAAUUGAAUGCAAGAAUGAUCACCGUUGUUUUCAUUGAAAAACAGGUGAAAGACCGAAGGCACAACGUAAACAUUCCCACAAUCAGAAGAACCCCCACCUACUCCAAUCAUAAUAUAUUUCAUGUUUCCUUUUUCUCCUACAAAGAUAGCGAGAGUAAAUCAUUUUUUUUGCUCGGGUCUCCAAGAGGAACCUGAGGUAAUCAGCGGUGAAGACCGUCAAACUUGUUGGUAGAUUCCUCGUACAUGUGCAUAUUCGAUGCGAUCGGUACGAGAUCUAUGUAGUUGUCCUUGACCGGGACCAGUACAGCGGAAGCGAUCUGGCGAUUAGAUAUAUCCCGGCAGGAUACGAGACUGGACGAACGUAGUCCAACCCUAGAAUCAUGAUUCAAUAUGUUAAUGAAGAUCUUCAAAUUAGUCGUUCGAGAAUUGAACACUUACCAUUCAUAGAGGUCCGGACCCCUCAUUCAAGAGAUUGCCUGAUUGAUAAAUCCUGACAGGUAGACAAAUAAGUUGAUGGUAUGUUUACAAACACCUGGUUUGCAGGGUAAAAUCUCAAAAUUACCUUCGCAAGAGAAACUUCUUUGCUUCGCUGAUUUGUAAACAUGAAAAUGGCAAGUAGACCGGUUAUUGAUUCCGAAAUCGCGAUAGGAUAUGCGCACAUCCUAGUUUUUUAGAACUUUCUGUAGCGGACAAGAUUUUGAAAACGAAAAUACCCAAAAAGCGCGAAUAAAUCGUAAAUUAGCAAUCGAUACGUGGGUUUCGCGAACCUUCGUAAUCUGAGACGCGUAAAAGGUAAACAUAAACAUUCAAGGUGAGUCAUCCAUGAGAUGACAGUUCUCAAUACUAACGUGUAUUGGUGUGAGUUUUCUCACGAUGAGUAUCUUUUCUUCUCGCGUAGGCGAUGAAGGUGAACAGAAUAUUCGAGUAGAAAGGCAUUAAUGAAUUUUUUAAUUCACCAUAAUCAUGAAUUGAUUUUUGGUUGAAGUUAAUCAUUAAACCCGACUAAAAUGACAUUCAAAAUGAAAUACUUCAUUUUGAAGGAGGGACGAUGGGGUAAUGUAACCGUUGGUUCCAAUGUUACUUGCUGGCUCCACCAUCAAUCCCAUUUUCCUCCCGAAAACAAUAGACCCUUUCCAUAACUUUAACUAGGAACUGUCCAAACUCACUGGUUGAUGAGUCACGAGUGAGAAGCGUUCCACUUUCAACUCAUACCAGGUCUCAAAAGCGUAUAUACCGGGGUAGUGUGAACAAGACCUAAAAAGAAACCCUAGGCAAAUUCAAGUACCAAUCCACAGAUGGCGCAUAGGUGAAACAUGGUUGCCAAAACACAACAUAAAACAUAGAUGUCAAAUCCAACCUCAGAGAAAGUGGAUUUCUUAUAAAAGGCUGGAUUUGACCAGAAUUUCCCUCUUUGUCCACAACUGAUUCCCAAAUAGUGUAGUGCGCGUAUUGUGUUAAUUCUAAUGGUCAGAACAAUAGACCACCGCAUGGUGAAACUUAUAUUAACUUUUGGUUUCUUUUCUUAAAUAAAAUAGGGUAAAACUUAAAAUACGGUUGUAAACGUUAAAAAAAAACUGUGUUAGUAAAAUGUGUUAGUGUUAAAACGGUUAGUGCGAACAAAAAAAAAGCAAAUUGUAACCUAAAACUAAUUGUUUAAAACUUAUAGCUAUGAAACAGUUAGACAAAGAACAUCGAAAGAACAGAACACUAAAACAGGUUAAAACGCAAGAAAAAGCGGACGGAUCUUCCGUCGGCACUAACAUCGCCGAUUCCCAGUGCAUAGCGGCGGCGCACAUCGGCGCAGCGACCGCCAUUUUGAAACCCCUGAUGACGUCAGAAGCCCGCCAUUGGUCGAAACACUGCCAAUAAUCAUCCGCUUGGAAGUUGGGAACCCUUCCUCGCUUCCGUUGGCAACCUGCUGGAGUUUCAUCUGGUCCGGCAAACCGCUGGCGAUUUAUUACAAGGCUUCUCAUCUACCAGUGACGCCCCCCCCUUUUUCUACGAUGGGCCACCGUCUGGCCCGAAUCUGCCGUGAAAUCAUCAUGCCAACGAUCACCAUGCCGGCAGAGGUCGGAAAGAUACAUCCGGCGUACCUAACCUCAAAUAUCCCACCGGCAAAGGCUGGUCAGAGACCACAGCGUACCAUCCACCGGCUGCGAAAGAUCCGGAUCGGCCACAAACACCUACAAAAUUCCGCAAGUAUUAUCACCCUAGCUAAUGUGACGUCAUAGAUUAGAAUAAACUAUGUAUGUAUUUGUAAAAUGAAUUAGCCUCAGCGGUAGUCAGCUUAUUUAUGAAAGCAGCCCUGGGUAAUGUAACUUUCACCUUUCUUAUUAGUUUUCGUCCACUUUGUUACUCUCAUUCCUCGCUAUUUAGUAAGAUCAUUUGUGUUCAUUGAUAUUCCCCUCCCCCCUUUGUAUGUUUGUGCAGUUUGGUUGACCACUGUUCCAUUAAAACAGCAUCUUUGGCAAGGUUUUCACCACCAACAGUUCCUACUCAUAUUGAUACGGCUCCACGGCUUGUGUAUGAGGGAAAGUAAGCUUUGAACGACCCUGAAAUCCCACCCUAUGAGUUAGCACGUUACAAAUCAAUAAUUUUCGAUCACACGCGUUGAGCCUGCUUUGAAAUUAACCGAGAACUGAAGAGCUAUAUCAAUCCAACUAUAUGGCUAGCUUGCGGUUAUAAUGUGUAGGGGCAGUACUCUCCCGUAUGCAUUGGGUGGUGAUAAGAGCAGUACCACAUGUGAGGGUUACUGCUAUACGUUUAUGGUGCUUAUCAGAGGGGUAUCAAUCUCUCGGUUGUGUCCGAGUGUACAAUAUCCCAGGCUGCUGUACGAUGUUGAUAUGGUUAGCUCUAUUCCCAGGAAUGCUCAGGUAGUCUUCUUCAGGACUUAUCAGGCAUGGAUGCUGUGUUCUGUUGUUGUGUUGUAUGUGUAAUGAGCUUGACAUGGUAAGAUAGACCUAUGCUUUCAUUUUAUACGGCGACCAUGGGAGCUACUUUGAGGCUCUCGCGAGGCCGUCGGUUGUGAGCAGGUUACAACCUCUU
Molecule: long non-coding RNA, 6678 nt
Organism: Aedes albopictus (Asian tiger mosquito)
Lineage: Eukaryota; Metazoa; Arthropoda; Insecta; Diptera; Culicidae
Exons: 3
Source: RefSeq, a predicted model, not a curated record